AACGAACGCUGGCGGCAUGCCUAACACAUGCAAGUCGAACGAAGCCUUCGGGCUUAGUGGCGCACGGGUGCGUAACACGUGGGAAUCUGCCCUUCGGUUCGGAAUAACAGUUAGAAAUGACUGCUAAUACCGGAUGAUGACGUAAGUCCAAAGAUUUAUCGCCGAAGGAUGAGCCCGCGUAGGAUUAGGUAGUUGGUAGGGUAAUGGCCUACCAAGCCGACGAUCCUUAGCUGGUCUGAGAGGAUGAUCAGCCACACUGGGACUGAGACACGGCCCAGACUCCUACGGGAGGCAGCAGUGGGGAAUAUUGGACAAUGGGCGAAAGCCUGAUCCAGCAAUGCCGCGUGAGUGAUGGAGGCCUUAGGGUUGUAAAGCUCUUUUACCUAGGGAUGAUAAUGACAGUACCUGGAGAAUAAGCUCCGGCUAACUCCGUGCCAGCAGCCGCGGUAAAUAAGCGUACU
Molecule: ribosomal RNA, 461 nt
Filed under: uncultured bacterium
Lineage: Bacteria
Description: bacterial SSU rRNA
Rfam family: Bacterial small subunit ribosomal RNA
Source: RNAcentral